AUUGAACGCUGGCGGCAGGCCUAACACAUGCAAGUCGAACGGUAGCACAGAGAGCUUGCUCUCGGGUGACGAGUGGCGGACGGGUGAGUAAUGUCUGGGAAACUGCCCGAUGGAGGGGGAUAACUACUGGAAACGGUAGCUAAUACCGCAUAACGUCGCAAGACCAAGGUGGGGGACCUUCGGGCCUCACACCAUCGGAUGUGCCCAGAUGGGAUUAGCUAGUAGGUGGGGUAAUGGCUCACCUAGGCGACGAUCCCUAGCUGGGCUGAGAGGAUGACCAGCCACACUGGAACUGAGACACGGUCCAGACUCCUACGGGAGGCAGCAGUGGGGAAUAUUGCACAAUGGGCGCAAGCCUGAUGCAGCCAUGCCGCGUGUAUGAAGAAGGCCUUCGGGUUGUAAAGUACUUUCAGCGGGGAGGAAGGCGGUGAAGUUAAUAGCUUCACCGAUUGACGUUACCCGCAGAAGAAGCACCGGCUAACUCCGUGCCAGCAGCCGCCGUAA
Molecule: ribosomal RNA, 504 nt
Filed under: uncultured bacterium
Lineage: Bacteria
Description: partial 16S ribosomal RNA
Rfam family: Bacterial small subunit ribosomal RNA
Source: RNAcentral